AAUAUAAUUGUCCAACCUAGACUAUUUGUAAGUAGAUAAAAAUUGCUUCUGUUUUAAUAGUAUUGAUAUCACAUUUGGUAAAAUUAAACUAUAUCAUUUUGUUUUAAGUCAAAAUAUUAUUUUCAUUAGAAGAUUAAGUUUGAAAUAGUUUAUCGUCUAGUAACUUCAACAACCAUCUCUUUAAUGGGAGUGUUUGUUAUAUACAGCACACAAGUACCUGCACUUAACACUAGUAGGGAUGACAACAUGCAUUGCUCAGAACUCAAUGAUACUUCUUCCGUAAACUCAUACCCAAUUUUACAAAGCAUGGGCCUAUAUUACCGAAGCCCAAUUAAUGAUAGUACAAGACGUACCCCCAUAUUGACACAGAUGCCUAACAUGUCGAAAUUUGUUCCGUAAAUCCCAACGAGAAUGACUGAUCAAGCAAGCAACAAGAUUCAUAUAGAUUUUGUCAAGUUUCCAAAGAUAACCACCAACAUUACUCUUUUCCCCAGCUUCCUCACCCUCUGUCUCUCCAGUUUCUUACACACGCUC
RNAcentral lists this long non-coding RNA (534 nucleotides) under Brassica napus (rape). Its description in RNAcentral is "long non-coding RNA (BNAP_LNC003120)". Lineage: Eukaryota; Viridiplantae; Streptophyta; Magnoliopsida; Brassicales; Brassicaceae. The record is from RNAcentral.